CCUAAACGAGUUUACGAGCACCACCCGUUAGGAUAUCCUAACACAGAUUUAAUGUCAAGGUUAAUAAAUGCCUGGUCUAUAUAGUUCUUAACCUAAUACUCCAUCGGGGUGAUACAAUUCAUUUAGAGCAACAAAGCAUGCUGUGUAAAUAACCUUUGAAUACUAAGCUUAACACUUACCUGUUUAGCCUAUCAUUUAGGCUAACCGUACUACAAAUAUUAUAAAUAAAGAGAGAGAGUAUAACAGUACCAGAGACCAAUUGUUGGUGGCUAUUUAGGCUAACAGUACUACAAAUAUUGUAAAUAAAUAGAGAGAGUAGAACAGUACCAUAGAUCGGGUGUUGGUGGCCAAGUGACCCUUUUGAUUUUUCUUUCUGAAUUCAAAAUACUAUCAAAUUACAAAGAAAAUAUUGACAAGGAUAGAGAAGGCUAGAGAGAUGUUCUGGGCUUU
This 450-nucleotide long non-coding RNA is filed under the name Nicotiana benthamiana. RNAcentral's name for it is "long non-coding RNA (NBEN_LNC009643)". Lineage: Eukaryota; Viridiplantae; Streptophyta; Magnoliopsida; Solanales; Solanaceae. The record is from RNAcentral.